Molecule: ribosomal RNA, 549 nt
Filed under: uncultured bacterium
Lineage: Bacteria
Description: partial 16S ribosomal RNA
Source: RNAcentral
GGAGUUAGCCGGUGCUUCUUCUGUGAGUGAUGUCCUUCCUGCCGGCUAUUAACCCGCAGGCCUUCUUCCUCACUGAAAGUGCUUUACAACCCGAAGGCCUUCUUCACACACGCGGCAUGGCUGGAUCAGGGUUGCCCCCAUUGUCCAAUAUUCCCCACUGCUGCCUCCCGUAGGAGUCUGGGCCGUGUCUCAGUCCCAGUGUGGCUGAUCAUCCUCUCAGACCAGCUACGGAUCGUCGCCUUGGUGAGCCGUUACCUCACCAACCAGCUAAUCCGACAUAGGCUCAUCCGAUAGCGCGAGGCCCGAAGGUCCCCCGCUUUCCCCCGUAGGGCGUAUGCGGUAUUAGCCUGGGUUUCCCCAGGUUAUCCCCCACUACCGGGCAGAUUCCUAUGCAUUACUCACCCGUCCGCCGCUCGCCACCAGGGAGCAAGCUCCCCGUGCUGCCGCUCGACUUGCAUGUGUUAGGCCUGCCGCCAGCGUUCAAUCUGAGCCAGANAGACCUAACGUACCUGACGUCGGGACGUCGGGGCAGGGCCGAACGGACGACGA